Molecule: transfer RNA, 72 nt
Filed under: Bos taurus (domestic cattle)
Lineage: Eukaryota; Metazoa; Chordata; Mammalia; Artiodactyla; Bovidae
Also listed under: 4 other names
Rfam family: tRNA
About the family: Transfer RNA (tRNA) molecules are approximately 80 nucleotides in length.
Source: Rfam by way of RNAcentral
UCCCUGAUAGCUCAGAUGGCAAAGUAUCUGCCUGCAAUGCAGGAGACCCUGGUUCAAUUCCUGGGUUGGGAA